Ornithodoros turicata is the source of this 473-nucleotide long non-coding RNA. RefSeq lists it as uncharacterized. The transcript is spliced from 3 exons. NCBI's taxonomy places the organism in Eukaryota, Metazoa, Arthropoda, Arachnida, Ixodida, Argasidae. The record is from RefSeq and is a predicted model, not a curated record.
UCUGCAUUCAGUUCCACUGAUUUCAAAGUCGUCUGCAAUGCCGCGUUCGACCGUUUCGCCGUCUGACGGAAAGGAGCUGAAACACAGCAUCACUACCUGGUAUGUGUUUGGCAUCACUGCACUACUACCAACAUGCUCCUAUCUCAUUCUUUCCCGGAAUGUACCACUCACAUCCUGCUGUGGAGCACUGCCACAGGUCACCCACAAUGGCUUAGUCCAGACUCUGCAGUUGGUGGGAAUGAGAGCUUAGGAACUCAAUGGGCUGCAUCAGGUCAUACUCACCUGUUCUGUCGCUCUCGUUCUGUUAUGCUUGACACAGCACGUAUGCACACUGUAGAAUUAACACUGUCUGUUGUGAGGCGUGCAUGUGCUUUGUGCGCUAGAUCAAGACUAGCCGCAGAGAUACCAUCGUCAGCAUCACCAACCAAAUUCAUUUUACCACACGCAAGAAUUUGUUAUAAAUAAAGACUAUA